Long non-coding RNA from Brassica rapa (field mustard), 4928 nucleotides. RefSeq lists it as uncharacterized. Lineage: Eukaryota; Viridiplantae; Streptophyta; Magnoliopsida; Brassicales; Brassicaceae. The record is from RefSeq and is a predicted model, not a curated record.
GAAGAGGCUUCUUCUUGUGCAUGUGAGGCUGGUUGCAGUGGACUGUUCUGCUGAACCCUGGGCCUUGGAUUGGGUGAGGGUCUUGGCCUUCGUCUGCGCUUGGUCUUAGGCAUCCGAAUGUGUAGAUGUUGCUUAGUCUCAGUUUUGACCUUCUUCUACCUCUAGCCAUUCUCUUACUCACAAAUAUUGAAUCUUUUUUUAUCAAGAACUCUUCUUCUUCAUCAUAAUGGAGAGAGAGAGAGACAAAACCGUCUGUUCAGCAAGAAGCUGAGAACUUGACGGCAAUGGCAGAUCAAGACACGAAAAAAGAAGCAGCUUUCUCUUUCUCUCUCAGAUUAUUUUGAAUUUACUCAAAUUUUCUCCAGAUUCCAGAUGGGGUUUAAAGAGAAAGACUUGUGAUUUUCACUCGCUUUUUCUUUCUUUCUUGCUUGCUCACACACGCACAAUGAGAAUCUGAACGAGUGCAAGGAUCUUUCGUUGUUGCUUCCUCUUCCUCGUCUGCUUCGUCUUCUUUUUUUUUGAAAGCUUCUUCUUCUCUAUGAUCUCUCUAAUUAACUUCAACGAUUAACGAUAAAAAUAAUGUUUCUUUGUUGUUUCUCUAUAUUACUAUUAUUAUUUUGUAGAUGAACUCUCAUUACUCUAUCUAUACCCACACAAAAAAAAGUCAUCACUGAAUUUCAAAAAAUAAAAUAAAAAAGAUCAUCAAAUUGUUAAUUGAGCUGAAAGUUUAAUACAGUUUGUGGAGUUUUAUUUAAAAAAUUAGAGAAUUUAUUUAUGUAAAUCGAUCGGUCGUAUUAUUUUCAUUCAAUCAAUCUGGUCAUUCUUUGAUUUGGUCAAACAAAACAAACGCUUCUUCCACUCCAUUUUUGUGUAAGAUAAAAAACGUUGAUUUAUUAUAGGUUUAAAUUUAAUCAUUCCUAUAAGUGCCGACAACUCUUAAUGAUCGAUCGGUAGAUUAAUGUAAGUAGCCUUGAAAAAUAAGUAAAUAACUCUCUUUUUAUAAUACGAAGCGAGAUCGCGGGAGUGGGGGAGUGGACUGAACCAAUACGCACCGUUUUAUAUUUUAAAAUGUCAUCUUUUUAAAUAAUUGUUUAUCUUCUAGGAAAAAUUGUUUUUUUGUAAUUUUUAUUGUAUUCUAAAGAGCAUCGAGUAAAUUGUACUACUAUCACUGCACCACAGAUAGAAAAUCAUGCUCCGUAUAUGGUUUUCCGAAACGUUGAUCUCCUAAAAAGACAUAAAUAAUUUCAUUUAUAAGUUUUAUAGUAGGUUUUUUUUAUCAUUAAUCGAACCAAUUCAAUCAAAACUCUGUAAACUAAAUUAAAAAUAUUAUGUAUAUAUGAAUGAUAUAGGACGGCUAAUAUUUUACACCACAUACAAAAUGUCUGUAUUUGUAUUUUGCACCUGGGAUACAUAUUUGAUCACGAAAAUACUAAACCUUCAAUAUAUUUUCGAAAUUCUUGGUAUAUUGUAAAAGCAUCAUUCAUCUUAUUCAUAAAUCUUCUUCACUAAUAUAGAACAAUUUUGCAGAAACCAACAAAAGUGGAGAUCAUAUAAUGAUAUUAAAAUUAAGAAUACAAUGCCUAGCUAACAAGAUGAGAUGUGGGUACGGUUAUGGUAUGCAUAGGUCGAUAUCCAUUCCUUGAUAGUUUAAUUCUUGCCAAGUUUUGUUAAAAAUUUGAAAAUCAGAUAAUUGAUUUGAAUGUCAUUUUUUGAAUGUUUAUACGCACAUCAAUACACUUUUAUAACUAAAUAUAUGGUCUUCUUUCUUUCUGGUCCCGAAUAUAUUUUUUCUUUUAUGGAAUUAUAUGAAAGUAUGACGAUAGAUGGAGACAUGACAUUGCCUGGUGUGACAUCCAAACAGCAAAUGUAUGGACAAAUUGAAUGAAUAAACAGUUAAAAAGACUGCCACUUGCCAAAUCAAGCAUGGCUCAAAAUAUUAGUAAUCCUAAUCAUGUUUCUACUCUCUCUAUCUUUUAUCCAAAUAUGUUUUAAAUUAAAUAUUUUUACCUUGAAUAGAUCAUAAAAUGUUUGAAAAAUAUACAAUAUAAGUAAAUGGCAGAAAAAUCGUGAAAAUAUAUAUAAUAUUUUAAAAUCACGUCAACUUUUGUUGCUUACAAAUAAAACAGAAUGGAUGAUCAUUUGCAUACCAGUAUAUAUCAAAAUAAAUGGCUAUUUAUAGCUUAAUAAAGAGUGAUUAGUUUUUUUUGAACUAAACUAAUGACAUAUAUAUAUAUAUAGAUAUCUCUUUAUAUAAAGUAAAAUUAGGUUGCAAGGAUAAUCACAUGGGAUCACCCUCCAUGAUUCUAUGGACCUUUAUCGAGUGUUUCGCCCAACACUAUGUACUUCCUUUUCCCGUGCACAAUGUUGACCUACUUUGCACUAUUUUACUUAUUCUUCGCCCUACUUUCCUAUACAGUACUAUAAUAUGACAUCUAUUAGAAGAAUUGGUAAGUUUACAUCUACUGGUUUUAGCUGUAUAUUGGAACCAUUAAGAAUCAUCGUUUUCAUCAAUCCAUUGUUCAAUUAGGUGAACAUAGUUAGUUGCAAAGAUUAUGUAUAUAUAGGAAACAUAGUACAUAGAGCCUAGAUAUAUACUAGCAUUUUUUAAUUAUUGGAGAAAUUAAAUAAAUACAACCAAAAAGUUGAAAAUGAGUUUAACAAAGAAAAAACUUCAAAAACAUAACUACAAGAACAUUUGUGAUUGUGUCGAAGGCAUCGACAUAUGUAAUUUCCAUACAAUUUCCGGACUAACUAUAUCACUAAACCAGAUAAUAUCAAGUGUUACGAUUUAACAUGUUGCUAUAUAACUGGUUAGAUGUGUCUCAUUUCUUAUUUGAGUUUUUACAUGUCAUAAUCACCGAGUAGAUAAUUACAAAUACAUACAUAUCGUCUAUAUUAACGAAAUCAAUGAAUAUACAUAUUAUAUAUAUACUAUUAUAUAUUAAUCUCUUAUUACAUCCUUUUAAAAGAAACUAAGUAGCAUUCGUUUUUGUUAGUGUAAGUAACAAGUAAACACUAUAUAACUACAAAUACUGUAUUAGUGUAGUACUAAGUUUAGAUAGAUCAUAAGAUAAAUGCACAUAUGAUUCAGAAAACCCGUUGUAUUAAUGAUGGAUUCUUCUUUCGCCUAAUAUCCUACAUUUUCGUAUAGAUUGGGAGUCGUUAAGAAAUCGAACGGCCAGGUUUUAAACGUGAGAGGAGAUGGUAGUAUGACCCACAUAGAGGCGUCCCAUAACUAUUAACCAUUUAUUAUGGCAUUUUCUGUUCAAUUUGUAGUUGGAUAUAUUUAAUUGAAUACGUGUUUUCAUUUCAAAUUUUAUAUGGGUAUGUCGCAUUAGGAUCAAGGUGACAAAAAACAGAGAGACAUCCAUAUUUAAAUUAUUAAUGAAGUUUCGAAGACUUGUAAGAUUUCAAUUGUAUCCUACUCCCUCCGUUUUAGAGCAAAAUUUUCGUUUCAAAAUUAAUGUCGUUUUAUGAUUUUAAUGCAAAAUUUAUUGACUUUUUAUUCUAAUUUAUUUUUCUAUUGGUUAAAAUUUGAUAAACUUAAAUGUUUUAUUAAUAUGUGUAUCGAAGUCUAAAACGAUAAAUAAAAUGAAACGGAGUGAGUAUUAUUUAUUAUAUUUUAAAUUAUUUUCCCACUUACAAAAAGAAACAUUGAAGAAAUCAUUAAAAAUAAAUAUAUAUGUGUAUGAAUUUUCAUAAUACAUUUAAGAAAAAAAACUUUCAUAAUACGGCACAUUGGAGUGCUAAAAUAACUGUAAAUGAUGUGAUAGAUCUGAAUUUUAUAUUAUCUACUUUUUUUGUUUGCUUUAAGAAAUGAGGAAUUUUAACCAGCACAUCACAGCAAUAACUUUAUAUUAUCUAUUUUUUUUUUAAUAUUGGAUAUAUUAUGCUAUUACAAAUUCGGAGAAAUAUUACAGACGAUUCUACAGUCGAUAAUUCUACAUGCCUUACGAAGAUUCACGUCUGACUACAUCACCUACCCUUGACGAUAUUCCUUACGCCGUACUGCAAAUCUCUUGUAAAUCUUUCUCCAUUAAUUCACAUAAUUCUAUUUUUUCUGGGAAUCGAAAUCUAGAUCUGGUGGUGUAGAAACAUUAAUGAACCAAGGGGGCUUCCACAUUAUAUUAUCUACUUAAGAAAAGCCUUUGAUGAUUUAAAUUUAAUUUGUUGGACCAGUCAAGUUGUGAAAAUAUCGUUUCACUAAUCGCACUCAUCAUUAAGAUUUACUUUAGAAUAAAUGUGAGAUAAUGGUGACAAUUAAUUGUUGACUUUGUUUAGUUUGAUUGUGACGGGAAUGUUCAAAUAUCCAAAACACAUGCACAAAGCAAAAACCAUCACAUUGACACAACAAGAGCGUUAAGACAAAUUAUCAAAGAAAAAAGAAGCAUUAAGACAAACCUAACGGAGACAAAACAAAAGGAUGUGCUUGGUUUUUGGUAUGUUGCUUAUCUUAAAGUCUCUCUGUCACUCUCUUCUCUUUUACUUUCCAACCCCAAAGUUUAAAACAAAUGGACGUAUUGUUGACUUGAAUUAUUGCGACGUGCUUGCAGAUUGCUUUUCGUUUGUGUUUUUUCUUCUUUCUUUAGUCGUGUGUGAUUUACGUUAGAAUCAUUACAAUCGUUGAAAUUUGUAAUUAGUGUAAUAAAAUUUCACAAUUUUAUUUUUUUACCAGAAACAAAAAUUCACAGUUUUUAGUUUAUUUCUCAAUUUAUUCUACAAUUAUAUGAAAGGAAAACAAAUAUUGGAAUCAAAUAAGACAUUUAGAAGAAAAAACUUAUGUUAAACUAAGAGAAAGAUGAGAAAUUAAACUAUUUCAUAUAUAAUAUCAAAGAUUUCACAUCUUGAUAAAUAAUGAUGUCUCAAGCUUAUGAAAACAUCAGAAGAAUUGAACAAAUAUAAAUGGGUCAACCUUCAUUUGAGAUCUU